GGCCGGUUAGCUCAGUGGUUUGAGCGCGGUGCUGGCAACAAUGACAACAUCGAGGUUGCGGGUUCAAUUCCUGCUCGGUCC
This 81-nucleotide transfer RNA is filed under the name Apaloderma vittatum (bar-tailed trogon). It matches the Rfam family "tRNA". Rfam says of the family: Transfer RNA (tRNA) molecules are approximately 80 nucleotides in length. Their secondary structure includes four short double-helical elements and three loops (D, anti-codon, and T loops). Lineage: Eukaryota; Metazoa; Chordata; Aves; Trogoniformes; Trogonidae. The record is from Rfam by way of RNAcentral.